This 965-nucleotide long non-coding RNA is filed under the name Castor canadensis (American beaver). Its description in RNAcentral is "lncRNA (ENSCCNG00000007647.1)". The record is from RNAcentral. Lineage: Eukaryota; Metazoa; Chordata; Mammalia; Rodentia; Castoridae.
CUCACAUAGGGCCCAGUGCCUUGUACUAAAGAGCUGAGCAUCACAUUGGCCUCUUGGAUUAAAACAGCAGCUGGCAUCUUUGACAACUGUUUGUAGUUAGUAGACUUUGCACACUUUUUCUUGCUAAUCCAAGCUUGAAAAUACUCUAACCAAAUUUCCCAAGGAUCAGAGUAUUCUGAUGUCCCAUAGAUGUUCCUGUGUUGUUUUUUAAAGUUGAUGGAGAAGUUGUCUUCCUGGCCUGCCAAGCAGUCAAGAUAGGUUGACAAAGUUGUCUCAAGGUUCUUUUGAUGGCAAGUGGCCAAUACCCACAGGAAUCAGCAUUGAAAAUGAGAAUUUGUGGUAUAGCAACAGAAAUGUGUGAAGGAGCUUGAGAGAGUGAGGUUGGGCCUAAGGAAAGAGCUCUUUGUCUCUCACCUCUGCUGCUCUGUCUUCUGGCUUCCUUCUCCUUCUCUGGUUUUCUCCAAGCCCCUUUGCACCAUUGUGGACUGUUGUUUGCCUCUCUUCUCUUAGGUUCACAUGCCCUUACUUAAAAUAUCCCACAGAGAAUGACAAAUGUCUCCAGCCUCCAGUUCCAAAUCUUCCAGGAAGAGUAUCUAAGGAUCCCAGCUCUGUCAGAUAUCCACUCUUCAGAACACCAUUGAUUAGGACAAUAUGGCAUAUGGGCCCCUUCUGGUCAAGUUACUCCUUCAAACUUAAGAAAAUGAAUAAAAAAGGUUGGCAAAUGGAAGAAAGCCAAUUAUGCAACAAUUUUAGAUUUUUGAAGUAAGACCAUUGCAUUUCCCAAUAUUGAUUACUCUUCACUUGAUUAUAGUGACUCUCUUCAGCUGUUUAUUACAGUAUGGAUCAUAACUCAUAGACUGCACUUGUUCCAAACUAAAAAUAAGUGCAAGGAAGCAGAAUAAGAAAGGAGGUGAAUGAAAAGUAGCAUUUUUGACAUCAAUAAAUAACCAUCAAGUAAAUAAUCA